GAGACACCCUUUUGAGGCAAGACUUUCUUCAGUGGGGCUUUGGUGCUCACUGAGUCUGCCCCCUGAUUGUGUCCCU
Myotis brandtii (Brandt's bat) is the source of this 76-nucleotide non-coding RNA. The record is from Rfam. NCBI's taxonomy places the organism in Eukaryota, Metazoa, Chordata, Mammalia, Chiroptera, Vespertilionidae.